UCCUACGGGGCGCAGCAGUGGGGAAUAUUGGGCAAUGGGCGCAAGCCUGACCCAGCAACGCCGCGUGAAGGAAGAAGGCUUUCGGGUUGUAAACUUCUUUUGUCAGGGACGAAGCAAGUGACGGUACCUGACGAAUAAGCCACGGCUAACUACGUGCCAGCAGCCGCGGUAAUACGUAGGAUGCGAGCGUUAUCCGGAUUUAUUGGGUUUAAAGGGUGCGUAGGCGGACAGUCAAGUCAGCGGUAAAAAUGCGGUGCUCAACGCCGUACAGCCGUUGAAACUGGCAGUCUUGAGUGGGCGAGAAG
RNAcentral lists this ribosomal RNA (305 nucleotides) under uncultured bacterium. RNAcentral describes it as "bacterial SSU rRNA". It matches the Rfam family "Bacterial small subunit ribosomal RNA", at positions 337 to 657 of the family's 1533-position model. The record is from RNAcentral.